This 253-nucleotide ribosomal RNA is filed under the name uncultured bacterium. Its description in RNAcentral is "partial 16S ribosomal RNA". It matches the Rfam family "Bacterial small subunit ribosomal RNA", at positions 524 to 776 of the family's 1533-position model. The record is from RNAcentral.
UACGAAGGGGGCUAGCGUUGUUCGGAAUCACUGGGCGUAAAGGGCGCGUAGGCGGCUGUUCAAGUCGGGGGUGAAAGCCUGUGGCUCAACCACAGAAUUGCCUUCGAUACUGGACGGCUGGAGACCGGAAGAGGUCAGUGGAACUGCGAGUGUAGAGGUGAAAUUCGUAGAUAUUCGCAAGAACACCAGUGGCGAAGGCGGCUGACUAGUCCGGUUCUGACGCUGAGGCGCGAAAGCGUGGGGAGCAAACAGG